Molecule: unclassified non-coding RNA, 377 nt
Filed under: uncultured Actinomycetes bacterium
Lineage: Bacteria; Bacillati; Actinomycetota; Actinomycetes
Description: uncultured actinobacterium contains 16S-23S intergenic spacer region
Source: RNAcentral
UCCGGUUUGGCACCGGCAGUCUCCAAUGAGUCCCCGGCAUUAUCCGCUGGCAACAUAAGACGAGGGUUGCGCUCGUUGCGGGGCUUAACCCAACAUCUCACGACACGAGCUGACGACAACCAUGCACCACCUGCGCAGGACCCUUGCGGACCUCACAUCUCCGUGAGAUUUCCCUGCAUGUCAAGCCUUGGUAAGGUUCUUCGCGUUGCAUCGAAUUAAUCCGCAUGCUCCGCCGCUUGUGCGGGGUCCCGUCAAUUCCUUUGAGUUUUAGCCUUGCGGCCGUACUUCCCAGGCGGGGCACUUAAUGCGUUAGCUACGGCACGGAGCCCGUCGAUCGAGCCCCACACCUAGUGCCCAACGUUUACGGCGUGGACUAC